RNAcentral lists this ribosomal RNA (540 nucleotides) under Triticum aestivum (bread wheat). Its description in RNAcentral is "partial small subunit ribosomal RNA". The record is from RNAcentral. Lineage: Eukaryota; Viridiplantae; Streptophyta; Magnoliopsida; Poales; Poaceae.
GUACAGGAGAAAGGGAAGGGGAUAGCCCAACAGCCAAAGCAAAAGUGGACAAGACCAGCUUCAGGAAUAUUGAAGAUCAACACUGAUGCAGCUUUUCACAGGAUUUCCAAUGAUGGAGGUUGGGGAUUUAUCAUUAGAAAUGAUCAAGGUAUAGCUGUAGCUGCAGGUGCUGGCAAACUGGAACAUAUGGCUGAUGCUUUUCAAUCUGAAGCAGUGGCUAUGUUGUAUGCAAUAAACAUUGCUAGCCAAAUGGGCUGUGAUAGAGUGAUGUUUGAAACAGAUUCUACACAGUUAAGAAGGGCUGUGUCUACUGAGGAAUAUGACCUGUCUGCACUAGGGGCCAUUUUCAGAGAGAUUAAAUUUCAGUUACAUGUAGGUUUUUCAGAUGUAUGUGUUGUAAACUGUUCACGAACAUGUAACCGAGUGGCGCAUAGGCUAGCAGCGUUUGGAGCAACAUUAAACUCUGGUGCAUGUAUUACUUGGCUGGGACAAUUCCCAGAGUUUGUUCAGAACCUUGUAGCUGGGGACUUGCCCAGCAAU